This 253-nucleotide ribosomal RNA is filed under the name uncultured bacterium. Its description in RNAcentral is "partial 16S ribosomal RNA". It matches the Rfam family "Bacterial small subunit ribosomal RNA", at positions 524 to 776 of the family's 1533-position model. The record is from RNAcentral.
UACGGAGGACCCGAGCGUUAUCCGGAUUUAUUGGGUUUAAAGGGUGCGUAGGCGGACUAAUAAGUCAGUGGUGAAAGCCUCUCGCUUAACGGGAGAAUUGCCAUUGAUACUGCUAGUCUUGAGUACGGUUGAGGUGGGCGGAAUGUGUCAUGUAGCGGUGAAAUGCUUAGAUAUGACACAGAACACCAAUUGCGAAGGCAGCUCGCUAAACCGUAACUGACGCUGAGGCACGAAAGCGUGGGUAGCAAACAGG